UCUUAGCAAUUCUUUCCAGAUACCCUCCCGAUCACAUAGCAACUAAUUGACAACACACAAACACAGUCACACAUAUCGGAAAUUGAAAAAGACAAAUCAAAGCUGCAUAACAAAUCUGCUUCAGUAAUUGAUCAAACUCAAAAACAUUCAACUGAAUACCAUAUGAAUACUCCUGAGGUUGAGGGAGUCACCAAAAAACAAACCCGACUCCAAAUUUACAAGGAAUGACUUCUGACUUACAAGAUACAUAAUCCCAAUCCAACACCUGUCCUCAUAAUCACAGAUAUUAAUAUAUAAGGCCAAGGCCAUAACUUAUCCAUCAAUCAAAACAAUUGAACAAUUCUUUUUAAGCAGUUCAUCAACUGGAAGAAUAUAAAUAUUUUAUCUGAAUUCUCAUUGGUUCACCUAAUAAUAUAGUCAUAUUUCCAUCCCGGUAACCCCAUUAUGCCAUCAACUAUCACAAACCAAAUACCUUAAUUUUUCCCGGGAUACUACGCCCGGCCUGAUCCUAACAUAGCACCAACUUACUCUACUUUGGUUGCACACAAUGGCCUUACUGGAGCCACUGAUCAUAUCCAUCAUCUUCAUAUAGAUCUUCACACACUACCAUGGGUAUGCCUUCCCAUGUUAACUAGUCUCGUGUUUAGAGUCCUCAUAUUCGAUAUCAAACCAAAUUGAAAAAAAAAAAUUAAAAGUUAAAAAAAAAAUACAAUAAUCAAUAAAUCUAACCCAAUCAAUCAGUCCGGGGAUAUUCAUGAAAUUGAAAGUUAUUCAACGACACGACCAAUAUGAAAUCUAACAGUGUCUUAAAGAAUGAUCACUGGUACAACAAUCAAACCACACACGGUCAUUCACGUAAUUUACACAACCAUGAUCAGUUAUAAUUGCCAAAAUCAAACAUACAGUAUGAGACCAAAUUUCAACUCAACAAAAUUCAGCUAAUCAUAUAACUAAUACUCCUUGAUCAUUAUAAUUGAAAAACGAGAUUGGAGAUUCUUAGUCUAAGCGACAAAAUGGGAUCUCUUGAUCACAUACAAUAUACAGUUAAACGUUUAGGAACAUGUGUGAAAGAUGAGAGUGAUUAGAAUUUUACCUGGACUUGGGUUGGUAUACGAGGUAACAUGGUGCGAUGGUAUAGAUAGCAGAGAGCUGUAAUGGGAAAAUUUAGUUGCCCUGUACUGAAUUGGCUCAAAAGUAUAACGCAACUAAAUUGUCCCAUUGCAGCUUUCUGGUAUCUAUCCCAUUGUACCCCAUCACCGCCUAUACUCACCCAAGUCCCGGUACAAUUCUAAUCACUCUCAUCUUUCACAAAUGUUGCUUAACGUUUAACUGUAUCUUGUAUGAUCAAGAAAUCCCAUUUUGUGGCUUAGACUAGGAAUCUCCAAUCUUGUUGUUCAAUUAUGCUAUGAUCAAGGUGUUAGUAUUGGUGUCCUAGAGACAAUACUAUUGUGUUUUAUCGUAGACAUUUAUGGAUUAUGUUUUAUUGAUUAUUGAAUAAAUAUUUAUUAUGUCUUUAUUUACUGCGUAAUAAAUUGAAAGCAUAAUAAAUGUCCUUGGAAUAUUAUAUGUAAUUCUAUAUCUCUAAGUACGUGACUUAGAAAUGAGAUUAUGAGAAUAAUAUCAAUAUUCCUAAAUGUCCCUAGUCGAGUAUUAUUGUUAAGGGACAAUAAUGAUGCAUUAAGACUGGUAUGUUUGUUAACUGAUUAUCACAUCUCAUUGAUCAUAGGUAUAGUGAUGCUAAAGUCAAGAACAUAAGUGCAUGUAUCCACACAUGGCACUGGAAUGACCCACCGUGAGAUUUUACAUGUUAAUAAGUGUCAUUAGAAAUUCUCACUGUGAUGAUGAUGUAAUGAUCCUCUGACUUGAUAUCAUUAUAUUUCUAUAUGAGAAUUAGUAUACUUUGGUUACACUAAAAGUUACCUUUGACCGGGUGAUGAUGAAAUGUACAUUGGGUAUAUUAUGAAUCGUAUGAGAAAUAUGAAUGAUCUAGAAAGGAUUUAACCUGAUGAUGAAAUGUACAUUGGGUAUAUUAUGAAUCGUAUGAGAAAUAUGAAUGAUCUAGAAAGGAUUUAACCCUCCUAUUUUAGGAGUGAUAUUAUUGGCCUCUUGAUUGAGUGAGACUAUAAAAUGCAUGGCCGUGCUCAAAUAUUGAUUUGUUUAAUAGUCUACUCAUUGAUCAAGGAAAUUCGGAUUAGACGAUGAAGAGGAUGACACAAUACAUGCCUUGAGUCUGAUCUAUAAUAUAAGGUUAAAGGGAUUAUAUUACAUUGUACAUUAUUCACAAAAGGUUUAAUUGAAUCACCAAUUAUUAUUAUUACUUGGGUAGCAAUGAUGUAUUACUAGAUGCCGCUCAUUGUUUAUAAUUUUAUUAUUGGAUAUUAAAAUUAUUGCCAACGUAAUAAUAACCUAAAGGGUCACACACUUAGAACGUUUAAAGGUGUUUUAAUUUAAAUUCUGAAUUUAAAUUAAAUGAUUAAGUUCGAAAUAAAUUGUUUAAUUGAGCCGGUCUUAACUAAGUAAUUAGAAUUUCGAAAAACCAAAAUCGGAUUAGGUUUGGAGAAGCCCAAAUCCGAUUAGGGUUUGGCCCAUCUAUCUCUCUUCCCUAUAAAUACAUAAUGAUGUAUUGUUUUAGGGUUAAGUAACAUAAAAUUCGUUUUAUUAUAAAACCCUAGCAGCUCUACAUCAAGAGAGGCUAGAGAGAGAGAGAGAGGCUGCAUUCGGCUAGUACCGGCUCCGGUGAUCUUUGGCGAUCAGACGUUCGUGUGGACUGCUUAGAGACGCGAUCCUUAGACCGAGGGCUGCGUGGUGAUUGCUUGUUCCGGACCUCCAUCUUUCGCUAACGUAAAACUUCAACAAGGUAUUAUUUCGUAUCUCCAUGAUCAGCCAUACUUUAUAGAUGGAUCCUCGGUUAGGGUUUCGGAAAAUUUUGAUUUUACGUCGAUUAUCCGUUGCGUUUGUUGCCCCGAAACCCAACACAAGGUGUAUCAGUCAUAUGAUUUCCUGAAUUUUGUUUGAGUUGAAGUUUGGUUUGAUAAUGUGUAUUUGAUUUCGGCAAUUAUAAUUGAUCAUGGUUGUGCAAUCUCAAUUGCAACUGUAGCAACU
Molecule: long non-coding RNA, 3102 nt
Filed under: Daucus carota (carrot)
Lineage: Eukaryota; Viridiplantae; Streptophyta; Magnoliopsida; Apiales; Apiaceae
Description: long non-coding RNA (DCAR_LNC005855)
Source: RNAcentral